GUUCGGUUAAGUCCGCUAACGACGCGCAACCCUCACUGUGUGUUAUAUGUGUCACACGGGACUGCCGGUUUUAAGCCGGAGGAAGGUGGGGAUGACGUCAAGUCAGCAUGGCCUUUAUAUCCUGGGCUACACACACGCUACAAUGGCCGGUACAAUAGGUUGCCAAGCCGCGAGGCGGAGCCAAUCCAACAAAGCCGGCCUCAGUUCAGAUUGUAGGCUGCAACUCGCCUGCAUGAAGAUGGAGUUGCUAGUAACCGCAGGUCAGCAAUACUGCGGUGAAUACGUUCCCGGGUCUU
RNAcentral lists this ribosomal RNA (296 nucleotides) under uncultured Anaerolineaceae bacterium. Its description in RNAcentral is "partial 16S ribosomal RNA". It matches the Rfam family "Bacterial small subunit ribosomal RNA", at positions 1074 to 1382 of the family's 1533-position model. Lineage: Bacteria; Bacillati; Chloroflexota; Anaerolineae; Anaerolineales; Anaerolineaceae. The record is from RNAcentral.